UGGGGAAUAUUGGACAAUGGGCGCAAGCCUGAUCCAGCCAUGCCGCGUGAGUGAUGAAGGCCUUAGGGUUGUAAAGCCCUUUCGCCGGUGAAGAUAAUGACGGUAACCGGAGAAGAGGCCCCGGCUAACUUCGUGCCAGCAGCCGCGGUAAUACGAAGGGGGCUAGCGUUGCUCGGAAUCACUGGACGUAAAGCGCACGUAGGCGGAUCGUUAAGUCAGGGGUGAAAUCCUGGAGCUCAACUCCAGAACUGCCCUUGAUACUGGCGAUCUCGAGUUCGAGAGAGGUUGGUGGAACUCCGAGUGUAGAGGUGAAAAUUCGUAGAUAUUCGGAAGAACACCAGUGGCGAAGGCGGCCAACUGGCUCGAUACUGACGCUGAGGUGCGAAAGCGUGGGGAGCAAAACAGGAUUAGAUACCCUGGUAGUCCACGCCGUAAAACGAUGGAUGCUAGCCGUUGGGGGGUUUACCUCUCAGUGGCGCAGCUAACGCCUUAAGCAUCCCGCCUGGGGAGUACGGUCGCAAGAUUAAAAACUCAAAAGGAAUUGAC
Molecule: ribosomal RNA, 546 nt
Filed under: uncultured bacterium
Lineage: Bacteria
Description: partial 16S ribosomal RNA
Rfam family: Bacterial small subunit ribosomal RNA
Source: RNAcentral